UUUAGAAUCUGUCUUUUUUAUAUUGUACAGAUGUGAAUAAAUGCCCUUUGUGAAAAUGAAACAUAAAGGAAAACAUUCAUGCUUUCAAAGUGAACCAGUCUGGGAUAUUUGCUUUAUUGAGUAAUUUAGAAAUUUGUGAGUCUUCUGCCUUGUCUUCUGUUCACAUUUAGAGAAUGCAAAUGUAUUUAACAACCUGACUGAGUUACAGCAGAAGAAAAGGAAAAUUUCAGGGACUGUGACCACACGUCUGCCCAUUGCCAGAUACAGUUCUGUAGGGCUCUUGUGCACUGCAGCAGUUUUUCUGCUUGUAGAGAUGUUUGCUGGAAUGGCAAGAACUGGAGAAAUGGACUUGAUCCUCAAAUCCUGGCCCACAGGCCGAUAUCGCACCCUGCAGCUGAUCCUCCAGGAGUAAAGGUGAUAGAAGCCUCUGAUCCUCCUAAUUGCACCACAAAUUUUGAAAAGAAAAAUAUUAAGAUGAGAGAGCAAUCAAGCUCACUACCUGCAUGUUACAUCCAAGAGUAAUCAUGGAAUUAGUUAUAUGUCAAAUUUGACUUCAAAAUUGUAAAGAAACAGAAUAUGCUUAUUUUGAGAGCUUUGGCAACCUAAAUAUCUAGAAGAAAACAUUAGAUCCACACUUGAGAAGUUUUUGGACUACAACUCUAUUCCAAAUAAGAGAACAAGUCACCCUUUUCUGUUGAAUGUAAAGUGACUUGGAAUUGAAUCACAUUUAGUCUUCUUGUUAUCAACUGAAUGUAAGUUAUUUUUUUU
RNAcentral lists this long non-coding RNA (768 nucleotides) under Coturnix japonica (Japanese quail). RNAcentral's name for it is "lncRNA (ENSCJPG00005003776.1)". Lineage: Eukaryota; Metazoa; Chordata; Aves; Galliformes; Phasianidae. The record is from RNAcentral.